CUUUUCGUGUCCCAACAAGCUGAUCCAUCUUUCCAUCUGAUGUAGCGACAUUUGUUGUGGCAGAAGCUGGGUCGGAGACUCUCUGUCCAUUCUGGGUUUCCACCUUUGAAGGUUGAGGCAUCUUUGAACGCAGCAAGUGAACGUGGCAAAAAUCAAAAAAUGUUUCUGCGUGCAACAAUGACAAGUCUUACCAAGUGUUACUGAAACUGCAAUCGAGUGGGCUGGUUUUUGAGAUAUCCGCUACCCAUUUUCAAUAAAAGCGAAACAGUGUGGCAUUAUUCUCAAAAUUUAUCAAAUUAAUAUUCUUAAAUCGCAAUUUUUAAAUUACGCUUGCUAUUGUAUUUUUUUUCGAUUUGGAAGCCAACUUGACCAGCGUGUAACAAUAAUAAGUGCUAUCAAAAAUAA
Long non-coding RNA from Drosophila nasuta, 405 nucleotides. RefSeq lists it as uncharacterized. NCBI's taxonomy places the organism in Eukaryota, Metazoa, Arthropoda, Insecta, Diptera, Drosophilidae. The transcript is spliced from 2 exons. The record is from RefSeq and is a predicted model, not a curated record.